AGGACGAACGCUGGCGGCGUGCUUAAUACAUGCAAGUCUAAGGGUUUAUCUUCCUUCGGGAAGAUAGACACUGGCGCACGGGUGAGUAACACGUAAGUCAUCUGCCCUUGGGUCUGGCACAACUCCGGGAAACCGGGGCUAAUUCCAGAUGAUACCGAAAGGUCAAAGUUUCGACGCCCAAGGAUGAGCUUGCGUCUGAUUAGCUAGUUGGCGGGGUAAUGGCCCACCAAGGCGACGAUCAGUAGCCGGUCUGAGAGGAUGAUCGGCCACAUUGGGACUGAGACGCGGCCCAGACUCCUACGGGAGGCAGCAGUAAGGAAUAUUGCGCAAUGGACGAAAUCUGACGCAGCAACGCCGCGUGCAGGAUGACGGCCCUUUGGGUUGUAAACUGCUGUAGCAGGGAAUAAGAGCCCAUCGGUGGGUCGUGAAGGUACCCUGAAAGUAAGCUCCGGCCUAACACGUGCCAGCAGCCGUC
RNAcentral lists this ribosomal RNA (475 nucleotides) under uncultured soil bacterium. RNAcentral describes it as "bacterial SSU rRNA". It matches the Rfam family "Bacterial small subunit ribosomal RNA", at positions 26 to 519 of the family's 1533-position model. The record is from RNAcentral.